RNAcentral lists this ribosomal RNA (379 nucleotides) under uncultured bacterium. Its description in RNAcentral is "bacterial SSU rRNA". It matches the Rfam family "Bacterial small subunit ribosomal RNA", at positions 30 to 410 of the family's 1533-position model. The record is from RNAcentral.
AUUGAACGCUGGCGGCAUGCCUUACACAUGCAAGUCGAACGGUAACGGGCCUUCGGGUGCCGACGAGUGGCGAACGGGUGAGUAAUGCAUCGGAACGUACCUUUCAGUGGGGGAUAACGUAGCGAAAGUUACGCUAAUACCGCAUAUUCUGUGAGCAGGAAAGCAGGGGAUCGCAAGACCUUGUGCUGAUUGAGCGGCCGAUGUCAGAUUAGCUAGUUGGUGAGGUAAAGGCUCACCAAGGCGACGAUCUGUAGCGGGUCUGAGAGGAUGAUCCGCCACACUGGAACUGAGACACGGUCCAGACUCCUACGGGAGGCAGCAGUGGGGAAUUUUGGACAAAUGGGGGCAACCCUGAUCCAGCCAUGCCGCGUGAGUGAAG